Molecule: small nucleolar RNA, 105 nt
Filed under: Echinops telfairi (small Madagascar hedgehog)
Lineage: Eukaryota; Metazoa; Chordata; Mammalia; Afrosoricida; Tenrecidae
Description: Small nucleolar RNA SNORA61 (ENSETEG00000025851.1)
Source: RNAcentral
CGCCUCCAUGUCCCUUACUCAUAGGAAGUAAAAACUGGUCUGAGAGGUUAUAAAAGGGGAAAAAGUACCAUUGAAAUAGACUAAAAGUCUUUGUGCCAUACAAGC